Small nuclear RNA from Mesocricetus auratus (golden hamster), 163 nucleotides. Its record names the gene U1. It matches the Rfam family "U1 spliceosomal RNA". From Rfam's summary of the family: U1 is a small nuclear RNA (snRNA) component of the spliceosome (involved in pre-mRNA splicing). Its 5' end forms complementary base pairs with the 5' splice junction, thus defining the 5' donor site of an intron. There are significant differences in sequence and secondary structure between metazoan and yeast U1 snRNAs, the latter being much longer (568 nucleotides as compared to 164 nucleotides in human). The record is from Ensembl. NCBI's taxonomy places the organism in Eukaryota, Metazoa, Chordata, Mammalia, Rodentia, Cricetidae.
AUCCUCACCUGGCAAGGGAGAUACCAUGAUCAUGAAGGUAAGGUUUUCCAGAGAGAGGGUUACCCAUCACACCCCGGGUGUGCUGGCCCUGCAAUUUCCCCAAAUGUGGGGAACUCGACUGCAUAAUUGGUGAGUGGCGGGCUGUGUUCACGCUCUCCCCGCA